CAGGGCGGGGCGGGGCCGUCCCCGCACCCCUAGCAGGCGCCCGGCCCGGGGCGAGCCGGCCCAGCCCCCGAGCCCGCGCCGCCUACCCCGCGCGCCCCGCGCUGUCUGUCUGGGGCGGCCGGCCGCGGGGCUCCUCGAGGCGACGGGCAGGCCUGAGCUGGGCUCCCGCGGCCGGGGAGGGAGAGAGGCCGCACGGCGCGGCGAGAGCCCAGGUCCCCUCAUGCAGAGGGCAUUUACUGGGUGACUGCAGUACUGCAAAAGGUACAAAGGAAAUGGAAGAUCUGGUCCUUGCAGGUCAGGAGUUUACAAUCUAAUUAGAAACACAAGCAUAUAUACAGAGAACACCAGAAUAUAACCUCCAGGUGUUACAUAAGCAAGACUCUGAAGAGGGUUGAGAUAUAUAUAUAUAUAUGUAUAUAUAUAUAUAUUUUUUUUUUUUUUUUCAAUGACGAGAAAGGCUUUGUACCUAUAUGUUCGGUGGGGAUCAGGAAAGGAAAUUCUAGGUCAAAUUACAGAAAGAGUACCUGUGUAUGUACCUUUGCUCUGGAACAAUAGAAUGGGGCUCUCCCGUGUCCCUUGAAGUGUCAACUCUGCCACUUGCAAACUGUUUUGACCUUGGACACAUUUUAAACUUAAGAAGGAAAUAAUGCCUGUGUCAUACAUUGUCAUGCAGCUCAAAUGAGUCUACACACGUGUAAAAAGUUUUCAAGCUUCUAUGUAAAUGUUCCUCAAUCAUGCAAGUUACCAUCUUAUAAUCGGACCUCUUGUUAGCAGUCUUUUCAGUCCCCUGUAGGUUGUAAGCUCCACGAGGGCCAGGGACCAUGCUGUGUUCUUCAUGGGUCACCGUGCUAUGCCUAGCAGGUUGGGAUGCUUAAUAAAGGUUUGCUGGAUCAAUGAAUAAAGAAUUUGAUGAAUCUUGUAAUAUUUUGAACAUUUACUUCUUUCUGUUCCCUAUGUAGUUCUUUCAGUAAUGGUCUUAUUGUGUGGCUG
RNAcentral lists this long non-coding RNA (990 nucleotides) under Cavia porcellus (domestic guinea pig). RNAcentral describes it as "lncRNA (ENSCPOG00000038206.1)". The record is from RNAcentral. Lineage: Eukaryota; Metazoa; Chordata; Mammalia; Rodentia; Caviidae.